AAGGACCAUCUGCUACCGGCCCCAGCCCAGAUGAUACAGUUAGAACCUACCCGCAGCAUCCUCUCCCGCCUUCAGACAGUUCCAGGAACAAGGGUGAGUCAGUCGCCCAGCUGAACUCCUGUCUUGCUACCCUGAGAGCCGGCCUCAGUGCCAGCAGACGGGCCGCUCCUGCCAGAGGGGCAGGUGCCCCUGGCGGCUUCUCAGCCCCUGGAAGGGCACCCCCACUCCCCCAGCACUGCUGUCUGCAGGCAGAGCCGAGGAAGGCCCCUGGAGAGCUCCAGCCGGCUCUUCUCAGCUAAGCCCCACCCCCUGGGGCUGCAGUCUGGUUCUCAAGUUCCACUGCACAUGUGACAGCUUCCACUGCAGCUCCUCAGGAAGCCCGCUGCAGAGAAGCGAGGUCCAGAGGUCUCUGGAAGGACCCCUGGGUCUCUUCUGGGGGGUGCAAAGAGGUUGGGCCCCUUCUCGCUGGGUGGGGUGGGCCCGGCCCGGGGAGGAUGUCAUUAAACACUGACCACAGGCACUCAGCGGGGGGCUUUGCUCCCCUGCCCUCCUUCCCUCACCUCCACACCUCCAGGCUCUCUGUGAAUAGAGGCUAUUUCACCAGGCGGACAGCGCAGACUGCACUCAGGUCGUGACUCUGGGUGCUGCCAGGGCAAGGUGUACGUAAUCCCCUGAGCCUCAGUCUGUUCGCCUGUAAAGUGGGGGGAAAUCUGACCUACUUCCGAGGGUGUCUGAGCAGUCAAGAGUGGGAGGGACCUGGUACAGCACCUGGCUAUGCUUUUCUCUAUCGUGAACUUCAGAGGGUCUGUCCUUUGAAUGGCCCACAAUGCUGGGGGACUUUUCGACAACGUGGGCCUGUAACUCAGCACUUCCCCCCCACGCACUCUCCGUGGGCCUGGCCUCUCUCCUUCUGCCAGCUGGCUGUUUUUGCUGCAGGGACCCAGGUUUAUGAAGCACAUGGGCUGCAGCUGACUGGCUCCCAAGGGUGUGAUCAUCAGAACCACUGCCCUCCCCACCCCCGCCGGUGACAGAAGCCCCUGGAACUCGCAGCCCCGGGGUUUUCUCAGUGCCCCUCCGUCCCUCUGACCCCGCUGCUGCUCUUCCCCGGGGUGGGGGCCCGUGCCCGGCUGGCCUCGCCCUUCACUUCCCCGCCACCCCCCAGCCGCGUCGCCGAGCAUUAUCGGGCGUGUGCAGCCGGCGGUGGCCCGGGAGCGCCCCGGGAACGGGCGUGGGGCCGAGGCCCGCCGGCGCCGCUUCCUGUCCCGGAGUCAAUCUGCCGCUGCUCUGCGGAGUCCUACAGUUUAUCUGUGGUCAGUGCUCCUACCCAUUUCCUGCCAGCUGCUACUGGUUUUCUAGCCCCGCGGGCUACAGUAACUGGGAAGGGGCCCGGGCUUCGUGAUUCCCCGGCGCGGCGCUGACCCGGUCCGAGGGGUGCAGGGGGACGCCCCGCCUCUGUGUCCGGGCCUUCCCCGGGCCGCGCCAGUGCCGCCGCCCAGAGGGCCCACACACUCGUCGCCAACCGAAAGCUGGCGUGCGUGCCUGCGUGCGUGCACGCG
Molecule: long non-coding RNA, 1556 nt
Filed under: Lynx pardinus (Iberian lynx)
Lineage: Eukaryota; Metazoa; Chordata; Mammalia; Carnivora; Felidae
Source: RNAcentral